AGGGACUUAGGAUAAAAGUAGACCAAGGGCCUUCAAAGCCCUAAGCGGGAGUGAAAACCUUCCAGCCCCUG
RNAcentral lists this transfer RNA (71 nucleotides) under Anatolichthys anatoliae anatoliae. Its description in RNAcentral is "Aphanius anatoliae anatoliae tRNA-Trp". It matches the Rfam family "tRNA". Rfam says of the family: Transfer RNA (tRNA) molecules are approximately 80 nucleotides in length. Their secondary structure includes four short double-helical elements and three loops (D, anti-codon, and T loops). Lineage: Eukaryota; Metazoa; Chordata; Actinopteri; Cyprinodontiformes; Aphaniidae. The record is from RNAcentral.